GGUCAGAUAGUUCAAUGGCUAGAACAUCACAAACAUGUGUACUUGUCGGAUUGGCGUCUGUUAGUCUAUGUACAACACUUGUACUCGUAGCUCUGCUUGGGUGUAAAAGUAUUGUGAAGACGAGGGUUCAAUUCCUUCUCAGGCCA
Molecule: non-coding RNA, 146 nt
Organism: Cadophora gregata
Lineage: Eukaryota; Fungi; Ascomycota; Leotiomycetes; Helotiales; Ploettnerulaceae
Source: the annotation of a RefSeq genome assembly